GACGAACGCUGGCGGCGUGCCUAAUACAUGCAAGUAGAACGCUGAAGGAGGAGCUUGCUUCUCUGGAUGAGUUGCGAACGGGUGAGUAACGCGUAGGUAACCUGCCUGGUAGCGGGGGAUAACUAUUGGAAACGAUAGCUAAUACCGCAUAAGAGUAGAUGUUGCAUGACAUUUGCUUAAAAGGUGCAAUUGCAUCACUACCAGAUGGACCUGCGUUGUAUUAGCUAGUUGGUGGGGUAACGGCUCACCAAGGCGACGAUACAUAGCCGACCUGAGAGGGUGAUCGGCCACACUGGGACUGAGACACGGCCCAGACUCCUACGGGAGGCAGCAGUAGGGAAUCUUCGGCAAUGGACGGAAGGCUGACCGAGCAACGCCGCGGGAGUGAAGAAGGGUUUCGGAUCGUAAAGCUCUGUUGUAAGAGAAGAACGAGUGUGAGAGUGGAAAGUUCACACUGUGACGGUAUCUUACCAGAAAGGGACGGCUAACUACGUG
Molecule: ribosomal RNA, 495 nt
Filed under: uncultured bacterium
Lineage: Bacteria
Description: partial 16S ribosomal RNA
Rfam family: Bacterial small subunit ribosomal RNA
Source: RNAcentral